CCCAGUCCCGUGUUUGCAGUAAAUGGGGAAUUGCCUCAGCGGCUGCAGGCCUGAGUGAGCGCCGCCAUCUUUAUUCGGGACAAGGAUUCACUGGACACGUGCUGGGCCGCCAUCUUUGUAGGGGGCAAGGUGCAGCCAGGCGCAUGUGCAGCCUCUCUCUGGUACAGAGUCAUUGUGAUGACAGCAGCCAAUCCUGCUCUGAUUCACCUCUGGGCUCCCUCAGGACCACUUUGUCAAUGUCCAGCUUCCUCAGUCUCCAACCAUGGGGAUCCCAGUGAUUAAUGCCAAAGCCCUGUUGCCUGUGGAGAGGGUGAUGCUUGACUUAUUGUACAGCUGCAGUUUGUGUGGUGAAGGUGCUCCCACAAUGUGGUUGGGAUACUACAGGUGGACAUUCAGAUGGUAAUCUCAGUCAUUGUAACACCAAACUCUGAUUGAAUUAGUCAAUUCAUCAGGACCUGGAUAUUCGCAUUGUGUGUGCAGAGAUGGCCAUUCGUACAGUGAUGUGCUCUUCCUGUUGGAUGUGGGAGAUUAAGGAAGGUUUCAAUGAUCUGAUUGUCUGCAGGAAGUGAGGAUGCAAAUCCUGUAGGAUUUCCUGGAUCAGAUGGAGCAAUGGUUAAAGGUAAUGAAGAAUUUACAGGAGCAUGGGGGUGUGAUAGGUGGCAGUUUCAGAAAGGUAGGAAAACUGCCGAUCCAGUCAGGUAGAUGGGUUUC
Molecule: long non-coding RNA, 711 nt
Organism: Hemiscyllium ocellatum (epaulette shark)
Lineage: Eukaryota; Metazoa; Chordata; Chondrichthyes; Orectolobiformes; Hemiscylliidae
Exons: 4
Source: RefSeq, a predicted model, not a curated record